UGAGAGCUAGAAUAUCAUGUCCAUCUCUC
This 29-nucleotide non-coding RNA is filed under the name Rattus norvegicus (Norway rat). The record is from RNAcentral. Lineage: Eukaryota; Metazoa; Chordata; Mammalia; Rodentia; Muridae.